CUGGUGUGCAGGUGUCCGCCAUCAGUAACAGCCACAGUCAGCACUUCCCGGCCCGGUGCGGUCUGUCUGCGUCAGGGGCGUGCCAAGCCCGGUCCACGUUUUCUCACUUAAUCCCUACACCGUCCCUAGGAGGGCGGCAGGCGUUUUGCAUUUUGUAUUUACAUCACUGAAGUUCAGAGAGGCCAAGUCACCCGGCGAUGGAGAAAGCCCUUCUGCAUCAAGUCGGCCCCCCACCCCUUCAUGAGACAGUGAGGAGGAGAAAGAAGCAGAAGGGGUAGAGACCAAGGUUAUUAUUGACACGGUCUCUCUGCGUCUCAGGCCUCCUGUCCCAGCCUCCCAGUUAGCUAAGAUGACAGAAUCGCUGGAUGCAUUUUUCUGAACUCAGUGGAAGGCUGCCCCGGGAGGUAGAAGGAGAAAUGUGUGAGCCCAGGCCGGCCAGGCACCAGAUUCACCUCCUAAACGUCUUCACAGCGCUCCUCUCCCUGCCCACCACGCCCACCGCCUGGAUUCAGCUGCUCUCAGCUGUUCCGACAACAGAACCACCUGGCCAGGCUGUGGGGGCUGUUUCUAAACUUUUUCAUGGAUUGAAAUUUGUUACUAAGUUACACAUUUGUAUCAUUUAAAAUUCCAAAUAAACCUGAG
Long non-coding RNA from Tupaia belangeri chinensis (Chinese tree shrew), 642 nucleotides. RefSeq lists it as uncharacterized. The transcript is spliced from 4 exons. NCBI's taxonomy places the organism in Eukaryota, Metazoa, Chordata, Mammalia, Scandentia, Tupaiidae. The record is from RefSeq and is a predicted model, not a curated record.